Molecule: ribosomal RNA, 522 nt
Filed under: Hypopomus artedi
Lineage: Eukaryota; Metazoa; Chordata; Actinopteri; Gymnotiformes; Hypopomidae
Description: partial 16S ribosomal RNA
Rfam family: Bacterial large subunit ribosomal RNA
Source: RNAcentral
UAGGAGGUCCCGCCUGCCCAGUGACCACUGUUUAACGGCCGCGGUAUUUUAACCGUGCAAAGGUAGCGCAAUCACUUGUCCUUUAAAUGAGGGCCCGUAUGAAUGGCACCACGAGGGCUUUACUGUCUCCCUUUUCAAGUCAGUGAAAUUGAUCUGCCCGUGCAGAAGCGGACAUAAAACUAUAAGACGAGAAGACCCUUUGGAGCUUAAGACAUCAGCCAACUAUAUUAAUAAGCCCAUCAACCGAGACUUAAACCCAAUUAGGCCUGGCCCCCGUCUUCAGUUGGGGCGACGACGGAGAAAAAUAAAGCCUCCAAGCAGCAUGGAAUUUUCCUAAAAUCAAGAGCAACCCCUCAAAAUAUCAGAAUCUCUGACCUCACAGAUCCGGCCCCGCCGAUCAACGAACUAAGUUACCCUAGGGAUAACAGCGCAAUCCCCUUCUAGAGUCCCUAUCGACAAGGGGGUUUACGACCUCGAUGUUGGAUCAGGACAUCCUAAUGGUGCAGCCGCUAUUAAGGGUUC